GCGCUGCUUCGGCAGCACACAUGCUAAGACUGGAACAAUACAGAGAUUAGCACGACCCCUGCGCAAGGAUGACACACAAAUUCGUGAAGUGAUCCAUAUUUUU
Non-coding RNA from Myotis davidii, 103 nucleotides. The record is from Rfam. NCBI's taxonomy places the organism in Eukaryota, Metazoa, Chordata, Mammalia, Chiroptera, Vespertilionidae.